Long non-coding RNA from Sipha flava (yellow sugarcane aphid), 1050 nucleotides. RefSeq lists it as uncharacterized. Lineage: Eukaryota; Metazoa; Arthropoda; Insecta; Hemiptera; Aphididae. The transcript has 3 exons. The record is from RefSeq and is a predicted model, not a curated record.
AUGACGCCGCGGUGUUAACGCGUGUACCGUUUCGGCUCUGAAGACGGUCGCGGGAGCAGUAGUCGUCGUCGUCUCCGUCGCCGUCGUCGUCGUGCGGUCAACGCGAACGGCUCAAGACGGCACAUAGCUACGUACGGCCAUGCGAACGCAAUAACGAGAGGAUAAUCGGGCGAAAACGCGGAACAAGAGGCACAGGGUCUCGUAGAAUAACGCUGCGAAAUGUUAAUGAACACCAAAGACGGUCUGGCACAAACCUUGAGCUGGUGCCGUGGUCACGGUGAACUUUACGCGGAUUCUGUGCGGUUAACACUGCACAACUAACUGCAGCGGCCUAAGUGCGAUAACAACGCGUGCGGCCUAAUCUCAUUCUACCGGAGGACAUAUUGACAUUCUCAUUGCGGUACCGACUUACACCACGAGAGGCCGUUAAUGUCGACCACAGCCGUGGCCGCCGGUACAUUGGCUAAUAAAACAUACCCUCUAUAUAACAGCUCUCGUUAUCAACAUACACUAUCCUCACCGCGCCCUUGUACGAUGAUCGUUCGAGUGCGACGCGACGCCGUCGUGCAGUGCGCGCCGGUUUCCGUUACCCUCCGCCGUCACGUUAAUCACAUUUCCAUCGACGUCGACGACGACGACCUUUCGCCAUUCCGGGCCGCCGACCCUCUUCGCCGCGGAUAACCCUUUAAAUCGAAUACUGCUCACGCGGGGAGGACUAACCCAAGGGGCAUUACGCGUACACAAUUACCAUAGGCGUAACCGAAGUAGGCACGAGACACCCCCUCCCGUCCACCAUAUUCGAAAUUGUGCGAUAGUAUACAAACAGGCGUCAAUGAAUCAACCCCUAACUCUUAUAACAGAAACUCACCGGCGCACUUCAAUAAGACGUUUUUUAUAACAUGGAUUAUACACGAAUUCGAAAGUAUGUGGCUAUAUCAUAGGAAGGAUUAUGUUGGUCAUACUAAAACACAGGACCCCUCAAACUUCCAGCGGUUCUCGAUGUUUGGGGACGAUGACGAUGUAUGAAUGGCUGUUCGACAAAAAAAAAAA